UACGUAGGGUGCAAGCGUUGUCCGGAAUUAUUGGGCGUAAAGAGCUCGUAGGCGGCUCGUCACGUCGGCUGUGAAAACCCGGGGCUCAACCCCGGGCCUGCAGUCGAUACGGGCGAGCUAGAGUUCGGCAGGGGAGACUGGAAUUCCUGGUGUAGCGGUGAAAUGCGCAGAUAUCAGGAGGAACACCGAUGGCGAAGGCAGGUCUCUGGGCCACUACUGACGCUGAGAAGCGAAAGCAUGGGGAGCGAACAGG
This 253-nucleotide ribosomal RNA is filed under the name uncultured bacterium. Its description in RNAcentral is "partial 16S ribosomal RNA". It matches the Rfam family "Bacterial small subunit ribosomal RNA", at positions 524 to 776 of the family's 1533-position model. The record is from RNAcentral.